UUAAAUUGAAGAGUUUGAUCAUGGCUCAGAUUGAACGCUGGCGGCAGGCCUAACACAUGCAAGUUGAACGGUAACAGGAAACAGCUUGCUGUUUCGCUGACGAGUGGCGGACGGGUGAGUAAUGUCUGGGAAACUGCCUGAUGGAGGGGGAUAACUACUGGAAACGGUAGCUAAUACCGCAUAACGUCGCAAGACCAAAGAGGGGGACCUUCGGGCCUCUUGCCAUCGGAUGUGCCCAGAUGGGAUUAGCUAGUAGGUGGGGUAACGGCUCACCUAGGCGACGAUCCCUAGCUGGUCUGAGAGGAUGACCAGCCACACUGGAACUGAGACACGGUCCAGACUCCUACGGGAGGCAGCAGUGGGGAAUAUUGCACAAUGGGCGCAAGCCUGAUGCAGCCAUGCCGCGUGUAUGAAGAAGGCCUUCGGGUUGUAAAGUACUUUCAGCGGGGAGGAAGGGAGUAAAGUUAAUACCUUUGCUCAUUGACGUUACCCGCAGAAGAAGCACCGGCUAACUCCGUGCCAGCAGCCGCGGUAAUACGGAGGGUGCAAGCGUUAAUCGGAAUUACUGGGCGUAAAGCGCACGCAGGCGGUUUGUUAAGUCAGAUGUGAAAUCCCCGGGCUCAACCUGGGAACUGCAUCUGAUACUGGCAAGCUUGAGUCUCGUAGAGGGGGGUAGAAUUCCAGGUGUAGCGGUGAAAUGCGUAGAGAUCUGGAGGAAUACCGGUGGCGAAGGCGGCCCCCUGGACGAAGACUGACGCUCAGGUGCGAAAGCGUGGGGAGCAAACAGGAUUAGAUACCCUGGUAGUCCACGCCGUAAACGAUGUCGACUUGGAGGUUGUGCCCUUGAGGCGUGGCUUCCGGAGCUAACGCGUUAAGUCGACCGCCUGGGGAGUACGGCCGCAAGGUUAAAACUCAAAUGAAUUGACGGGGGCCCGCACAAGCGGUGGAGCAUGUGGUUUAAUUCGAUGCAACGCGAAGAACCUUACCUGGUCUUGACAUCCACAGAACUUUCCAGAGAUGGAUUGGUGCCUUCGGGAACUGUGAGACAGGUGCUGCAUGGCUGUCGUCAGCUCGUGUUGUGAAAUGUUGGGUUAAGUCCCGCAACGAGCGCAACCCUUAUCCUUUGUUGCCAGCGGUCCGGCCGGGAACUCAAAGGAGACUGCCAGUGAUAAACUGGAGGAAGGUGGGGAUGACGUCAAGUCAUCAUGGCCCUUACGACCAGGGCUACACACGUGCUACAAUGGCGCAUACAAAGAGAAGCGACCUCGCGAGAGCAAGCGGACCUCAUAAAGUGCGUCGUAGUCCGGAUUGGAGUCUGCAACUCGACUCCAUGAAGUCGGAAUCGCUAGUAAUCGUGGAUCAGAAUGCCACGGUGAAUACGUUCCCGGGCCUUGUACACACCGCCCGUCACACCAUGGGAGUGGGUUGCAAAAGAAGUAGGUAGCUUAACCUUCGGGAGGGCGCUUACCACUUUGUGAUUCAUGACUGGGGUGAAGUCGUAACAAGGUAACCGUAGGGGAACCUGCGGUUGGAUCACCUCCUUACCUUAAAGAA
RNAcentral lists this ribosomal RNA (1554 nucleotides) under Escherichia coli. RNAcentral describes it as "bacterial SSU rRNA". It matches the Rfam family "Bacterial small subunit ribosomal RNA". Lineage: Bacteria; Pseudomonadati; Pseudomonadota; Gammaproteobacteria; Enterobacterales; Enterobacteriaceae. The record is from RNAcentral.